Molecule: ribosomal RNA, 464 nt
Filed under: uncultured Klebsiella sp.
Lineage: Bacteria; Pseudomonadati; Pseudomonadota; Gammaproteobacteria; Enterobacterales; Enterobacteriaceae
Description: bacterial SSU rRNA
Rfam family: Bacterial small subunit ribosomal RNA
Source: RNAcentral
CCUCGGGCGGCUGCAGUGGGGAAUAUUGCACAAUGGGCGCAAGCCUGAUGCAGCCAUGCCGCGUGUGUGAAGAAGGCCUUCGGGUUGUAAAGCACUUUCAGCGGGGAGGAAUGCGUUAAGGUUAAUAACCUUGGCGAUUGACGUUACCCGCAGAAGAAGCACCGGCUAACUCCGUGCCAGCAGCCGCGGUAAUACGGAGGGUGCAAGCGUUAAUCGGAAUUACUGGGCGUAAAGCGCACGCAGGCGGUCUGUCAAGUCGGAUGUGAAAUCCCCGGGCUCAACCUGGGAACUGCAUUCGAAACUGGCAGGCUAGAGUCUUGGAGAGGGGGGUAGAAUUCCAGGUGUAGCGGUGAAAUGCGUAGAGAUCUGGAGGAAUACCGGUGGCGAAGGCGGCCCCCUGGACAAAGACUGACGCUCAGGUGCGAAAGCGUGGGGAGCAAACAGGAUUAGAUACCCGAGUAGUC